Phrynosoma platyrhinos (Desert horned lizard) is the source of this 72-nucleotide non-coding RNA. Lineage: Eukaryota; Metazoa; Chordata; Lepidosauria; Squamata; Phrynosomatidae. The record is from the annotation of a GenBank genome assembly.
GCCAGUGUUGUGUAAUGAUUUGAACAUGGGUCUAUAACUCUGGAGACCAGGGUUCAAAUCCCUGCUCAGCCA